UGCAAGUCGAGCGGUAGAGAGAAGCUUGCUUCUCUUGAGAGCGGCGGACGGGUGAGUAAUGCCUAGGAAUCUGCCUGGUAGUGGGGGAUAACGCUCGGAAACGGACGCUAAUACCGCAUACGUCCUACGGGAGAAAGCAGGGGACCUUCGGGCCUUGCGCUAUCAGAUGAGCCUAGGUCGGAUUAGCUAGUUGGUGAGGUAAUGGCUCACCAAGGCGACGAUCCGUAACUGGUCUGAGAGGAUGAUCAGUCACACUGGAACUGAGACACGGUCCAGACUCCUACGGGAGGCAGCAGUGGGGAAUAUUGGACAAUGGGCGAAAGCCUGAUCCAGCCAUGCCGCGUGUGUGAAGAAGGUCUUCGGAUUGUAAAGCACUUUAAGUUGGGAGGAAGGGCAUUAACCUAAUACGUUGGUGUCUUGACGUUACCGACAGAAUAAGCACCGGCUAACUCUGUGCCAGCAGCCGCGGUAAUACAGAGGGUGCAAGCGUUAAUCGGAAUUACUGGGCGUAAAGCGUGCGCAGGCGGUUUUGUAAGUCUGACGUAAAAUCCCCGGGCUCAACCUGGGAAUUGCGUUGGAGACUGCAAGGCUAGAAUCUGGCAGAGGGGGGUAGAAUUCCACGUGUAGCAGUGAAAUGCGUAGAUAUGUGGAGGAACACCGAUGGCGAAGGCAGCCCCCUGGGCUAAGAUUGACGCUCAUGCACGAAAGCG
Molecule: ribosomal RNA, 710 nt
Filed under: uncultured soil bacterium
Lineage: Bacteria
Description: bacterial SSU rRNA
Rfam family: Bacterial small subunit ribosomal RNA
Source: RNAcentral